UACGUAGGGUCCGAGCGUUGUCCGGAAUUACUGGGCGUAAAGCGCUCGUAGGUGGUUUGUCGCGUUGUUCGUGAAAACUCACAGCUUAACUGUGGGCGUGCGGGCGAUACGGGCAGACUUGAGUACUGCAGGGGAGACUGGAAUUCCUGGUGUAGCGGUGGAAUGCGCAGAUAUCAGGAGGAACACCGGUGGCGAAGGCGGGUCUCUGGGCAGUAACUGACGCUGAGGAGCGAAAGCGUGGGGAGCGAACAGG
This 253-nucleotide ribosomal RNA is filed under the name uncultured bacterium. RNAcentral's name for it is "partial 16S ribosomal RNA". It matches the Rfam family "Bacterial small subunit ribosomal RNA", at positions 524 to 776 of the family's 1533-position model. The record is from RNAcentral.